RNAcentral lists this long non-coding RNA (610 nucleotides) under Dermacentor andersoni. Its description in RNAcentral is "uncharacterized LOC126519787". Lineage: Eukaryota; Metazoa; Arthropoda; Arachnida; Ixodida; Ixodidae. The record is from RNAcentral.
GAUGUGUACUCUGUUUACAUUACAGUUGUUUAUUAGUUUACUCGUUUGUUUUGCGACUGAUGAAAUGCCGGCAUAUAUAUAUUUUCAACAUCUGACAUAACCCUGUAUGUUUUGCAGGGACAACCCAGGACGUGCAUUUCUCAGCACCCAGUCAACUGCCAAAAGUGACUCAAACACAGGCCACCAGUGGAACUCGGCUGUACCACUGCAGUGCUGCGGAAAUUGCCUUCACCAGCGGCUUCGCAACAGCUGUUUCGCAGCAUGUCGGAGACAAUGCCUACGAAAUUAUUGGCCCUGAUCAUGAGAGCCCUCAAGGGGCAAACAACAUCUCUGUUGCAGAAGUGAGCCCGGUACCACUUGGAAGUUACCAUGACAGAUGACACGGCAGCAAUAGAUACAGAGACUGCCACGUCUACUGCAGCUGCAACAGUGUACGAGGCAAGCAGCAGCGCGUCAGCAGCAGUGUCAGAAGGAACCACACCAGGCCUGGUAGAGCAACAUGUGUGCUAUCACUGACUUUUUUUGUAGUGGAUACAACUCAUUUGCUCAACAUACAAAAGCUUUUCACCACGACUGUGAGCCAGUGUUAUUGUGCAGCAAGUGCAAGACU